This is a long non-coding RNA of Clupea harengus (Atlantic herring), 638 nucleotides long. RefSeq lists it as uncharacterized. NCBI's taxonomy places the organism in Eukaryota, Metazoa, Chordata, Actinopteri, Clupeiformes, Clupeidae. The transcript is spliced from 4 exons. The record is from RefSeq and is a predicted model, not a curated record.
CAGAGCCAGGGGAAAGUCUGCCCUCAGCUGUGUGAAAGACUGGCAUUACACGAGGAAAUAUAUGGUGCCCACCUCUCACAACCACAGAUAUUUCAGCAGAAGGGGAUGCUCCCUCCUAUCCAGGACGCUGGCGCUGCCAGGCACCCCGCAGCUGCUGAGGGGGGCAGCCAGCCUGGGCAGAAGCCCAUGGGAGAGGAGCCCGUGUCUGGAGCCUGUCCCCAGCGGAGGAGGAGGAGUCUGGUGGAGAAAAGGGGCUAUGCGGAACGUUUUCAUGACCAGCUCAAGGCCCAGGCCCAGAAAGCCCAGCCUACUGAAGUUACUUCUGGAGGACUAGGUGCCCCGGAACUCCCCCUACUGGUGAAGAAGAGAGGUGACAGAAGAUAGUCAAUUCAGCAAGGGUUGAGAGUGGAACAGCCCUCGACUCGCCAUGCCGUGGACACAAAUAACAAGUCUCACCUCAGUGCAGAGAGACAAAGUAAAAGGAGCAAGAGAGAGAGAGAGAGAGAGACAGAGAGAGAGAGAGAGAGAGAGAUAGAGAGAUGUUGCUUUUUAUCUCUGGCCUACAAAUAAAGACAAAUCGCUCGGUUCAAAAAGGCAUGUGAUCUAAUUGUGAAGCAUUCAUGAGAGGCUUUUGUAGU